Molecule: ribosomal RNA, 468 nt
Filed under: uncultured bacterium
Lineage: Bacteria
Description: partial 16S ribosomal RNA
Rfam family: Bacterial small subunit ribosomal RNA
Source: RNAcentral
GACGAACGCUGGCGGCGUGCUUAACACAUGCAAGUCGAACGGAAAGGCCCUGCUUUUGUGGGGUGCUCGAGUGGCGAACGGGUGAGUAACACGUGAGUAACCUGCCCUUGACUUUGGGAUAACUUCAGGAAACUGGGGCUAAUACCGGAUAGGAGCUCCUGCUGCAUGGUGGGGGUUGGAAAGUUUCGGCGGUUGGGGAUGGACUCGCGGCUUAUCAGCUUGUUGGUGGGGUAGUGGCUUACCAAGGCUUUGACGGGUAGCCGGCCUGAGAGGGUGACCGGCCACAUUGGGACUGAGAUACGGCCCAGACUCCUACGGGAGGCAGCGGUGGGGAAUAUUGCACAAUGGGCGGAAGCCUGAUGCAGCAACGCCGCGUGCGGGAUGACGGCCUUCGGGUUGUAAACCGCUUUCGCCUGUGACGAAGCGUGGGUGACGGUAAUGGGUAAAGAAGCACCGGCUAACUACGUG